This 255-nucleotide ribosomal RNA is filed under the name uncultured bacterium. RNAcentral describes it as "partial 16S ribosomal RNA". It matches the Rfam family "Bacterial small subunit ribosomal RNA", at positions 524 to 778 of the family's 1533-position model. The record is from RNAcentral.
UACGAAGGGUGCAAGCGUUACUCGGAAUUACUGGGCGUAAAGCGUGCGUAGGUGGUGAGUUAAGUCUGUCGUGAAAGCCCCGGGCUCAACCUGGGAAUGGCGAUGGAUACUGGCUCGCUAGAGUGCGGUAGAGGAGAGUGGAAUUCCCGGUGUAGCAGUGAAAUGCGUAAAGAUCGGGAGGAACAUCAGUUGCGAAGGCGGCUCUCUGGACCAGCACUGACACUGAGGCACGAAAGCGUGGGGAGCAAACAGGGA